UACGAAGGGGGCUAGCGUUGCUCGGAAUCACUGGGCGUAAAGCGCACGUAGGCGGAUUGCUAAGUCAGGGGUGAAAUCCUGGAGCUCAACUCCAGAACUGCCUUUGAUACUGGCGAUCUUGAGUCCGGGAGAGGUGAGUGGAACUGCGAGUGUAGAGGUGAAAUUCGUAGAUAUUAGGAAGAACACCGGUGGCGAAGGCGGCCCACUGGCUCGACACUGACGCUGAGGUGCGAAAGCGUGGGGAGCAAACAGG
This 253-nucleotide ribosomal RNA is filed under the name uncultured bacterium. Its description in RNAcentral is "partial 16S ribosomal RNA". It matches the Rfam family "Bacterial small subunit ribosomal RNA", at positions 524 to 776 of the family's 1533-position model. The record is from RNAcentral.